ACCUGCUGGUCUCACCGCUAGGGCCUGGGCAUCACAGGCAGGGGGAAUGGGGAGGGGACGGUAGCGUCAGCCUACACCCACACGCAGUUUCCUGAUAAAAGGUCCUUUGGAAACUUUGAUUCUCUUCUCACCAAGUUGAACGGAGAUGUGUUCCCAUAGUAAGAGUGAGGCCCCUGCAUUUGCUGCCCUCGGUUUUCCCAACUAACACCAGGGCCUCCCCCCUGUACCCCAUUCAUAUGCCUCAGAAGCUGACAAUGACUGUUGGGCUUUUCCAAUGAAUACCAGAACACCAUUUCCUGCAGCCUGAAAAGAAGACAGUAUAAUUGUUUGGCAGCAAGAGAAUCCAGGUGCCCUUCCAUGAGAAGCCCAAGCCAUGUGGAGAAGCCACGUCUAGGGACUCCAGUUAACACUCUCAGCUGAGUCCCCAGCUGACAGUCAGCAUCAACUGCCAGCCACCUCUGUCUAAAAGUGGGCUAUCUUGGGCAUCCAGCCCAGUCAAGCCUUCAGAUGAGUCCAGUCCCAGCCACUAUCUCACACAACCACACGAGAGACAUCAAGAACUCCCAGUGGAGUCCAGUCAGCCCAUGGAACUGCAAGAGACAGGAUCUCGCUGCGUUGCUCAGACUGGUCUCGAACUCCUGGGCUUAAGGGAUUCUCCUGCCUCAAUCACAGCCUCCCAAGUAGCUGAGAUUAAAAGUGCUCACCACCGUGCCAGCGAGUUCAGUUUUUGAGGCCAAGCUCAUAUGCCAAUUUCCUCAUGGAACCUUUCACUCCUCCAUCUCUUCGCCAAGUUGAAAUGUUAACUUCUGCUUCUCUGGGAUACUUCGGACCUUUGUUUAAAGCUCUCCCAUCUGCUUUCUGCGCUAUGUUUAGGGUUAUGUCUGGAUGGGAAUAGGUCUGUCUCUUGCCACUACUGGUAAAAUUGGUUCUUGCUUAGCAUGAUGUGGGCUCCCCACAUCUGGCACAGUGACUUGCGCAGGGUGGAGCCAAGACUCUGAGGAGAGGGCUGAACUGUGAACCUAGAAGUACCAUCUCCCCCUGCACACACCUUUGGUCAAGUUGACCCCAAGAAGAAGGACAAGUCCUCUGCACGGCGAUGAGGCCAUACACACAGUCUGUGGCCCGGCUUUGGGAGACUGAUGGGACAAAGGAUGUUUUGCACGAUCCUUGGUCUCUGAGCAAAUAUAUACAUGGGUUAACACAAA
This 1205-nucleotide long non-coding RNA is filed under the name Homo sapiens (human). Its description in RNAcentral is "novel transcript". The record is from RNAcentral. Lineage: Eukaryota; Metazoa; Chordata; Mammalia; Primates; Hominidae.